Molecule: long non-coding RNA, 755 nt
Filed under: Sorghum bicolor (sorghum)
Lineage: Eukaryota; Viridiplantae; Streptophyta; Magnoliopsida; Poales; Poaceae
Description: long non-coding RNA (SBIC_LNC007999)
Source: RNAcentral
GCUCAUACGGUUUUCUAUACUAACAUAUCAUAAUAUUAUUUUUUAUCUUUUUUGUCGAUAUUACUUAUAUGCUAUAAAUAUUAAUAUUUUUAUAUGUAUUUGGUUAAAAUAAAAAAUAUUUAAUUUCUCGAGAAAUAAGAAUGGCCCUGUUCUUCAGCACUACUUCAAUAUUACUUUUCAGCGAACGAAUAGUGUUUUUCUUUCAUAACAAAUCAGCAUAAGUCAAAUUUUAGCGAAACACACAACAAAUCAGCACAAGUCAUUAAUUGUAGAGUUAGCGGAUGCCUAAUAGAUGGUGAUCUUGAUUCUAUUCUGUGCACAUAUGGAGAGGACUUUUUUUUUCUCAUAAGGCUAACAUUUCUAUGGGCCUCUUUUGAACUACAGAUUAUUUUGUUUUUGUGUUUUUAUAUGAAAAUAAAUUGAUUUCUACCUAUAUAAUUUCAUUGUGAUUCCAAAGCCGACGUAGUUAAUUCUUGCAAGUAUAGACAUCAUUUCAUAUCUUUUGUUUUGGUCCUUGUCCUUGGAUGUCUGCGAGUUUUUUGCACAUGUAUGCUUCAUGGAUCGUGCUAUCCUAAGAGCGUCCCCAAUGAUGAGUUAUUUGGCUGACAAGAAAAAAAUAUGAGAGAAAGUUAUCACUAACAAUGAAGAAAUAACUGAUCUAUUUCAUAUAACUAAGAAUAUGUGAGAGAAGCAUAUGACUCCAAUAAUUUAAAAUAUAUAAAAUAGUCUUUUCUCACCUUUACAUCAGCUAACUG